UACGUAGGGUGCAAGCGUUAAUCGGAAUUACUGGGCGUAAAGCGUGCGCAGGCGGUUGUGCAAGACAGAUGUGAAAUCCCCGGGCUUAACCUGGGAAUUGCAUUUGUGACUGCACGGCUAGAGUGUGUCAGAGGGGGGUAGAAUUCCACGUGUAGCAGUGAAAUGCGUAGAUAUGUGGAGGAAUACCGAUGGCGAAGGCGGCGACCUGGGUAGAUACUGACGCUGAGGCGCGAAAGCGUGGGGAGCAAACAGG
This 253-nucleotide ribosomal RNA is filed under the name uncultured bacterium. RNAcentral's name for it is "partial 16S ribosomal RNA". It matches the Rfam family "Bacterial small subunit ribosomal RNA", at positions 524 to 776 of the family's 1533-position model. The record is from RNAcentral.